Molecule: ribosomal RNA, 253 nt
Filed under: uncultured bacterium
Lineage: Bacteria
Description: partial 16S ribosomal RNA
Rfam family: Bacterial small subunit ribosomal RNA
Source: RNAcentral
UACGAGUGCUUCAAGCGUUAUCCGGAAUCACUGGGCUUAAAGAGUUCGUAGGCGGUCAGGAAAGUGGGGUGUGAAAGCCCUCGGCUUAACCGAGGAAUUGCGCUCCAAACUCCCUGACUUGAGGAGGCUAGAGGUAAGCGGAACUGAUGGUGGAGCGGUGAAAUGCGUUGAUAUCAGCAGGAACACCGGAGGCGAAGGCGGCUUACUGGGGCAUUUCUGACGCUGAGGAACGAAAGCUAGGGGAGCGAACGGG